UUGUAUGGUGUCACAGCUGGAAAUGUUCCAAAAACAGCAGAGAAUGUCUCAAAGUAGGUCUGUUCCCAAGGACUCCACUCGUUCCUCUUCUGACUGUGACCAAAUCUCUGACAAGAAGCAACCUCAGGAGGAAGGAGAUAAUAUGUCUGCUGCUCUCAGGAGGAAACAACUGAUAUUAACUGAUGGACUCUUCUCAUGCUGUUAGACUUUGCUCAUGUCUUACUCCAGUACCUCCUUACUUGUGACUUUCUGUAGUCACCUGACUUUCUUGGAACAGGGGAACUUUCAAAGCGCUUCACCAAGAUUAUCUCUCAGAUGUAUUAUUCAAUGUAAGACAAUAGCUCUGGACUUUGUGUUACUGUCCUGCCCAUCCUCUGUAUAAAGGUUAGUUACAUGUGUUGAACAGAACUCAAACCGUUCAGUGUUUUACAGAUUUGGAGGCUCAUCUGAGACUUUUGACAUCUGAGUGCUCCUGAUGAAGCCAGCAUAGGAACUUACUUCACAAAGAGUGCAAGAGCCAAGUUUCUGUGGAAUUCUUGAGAGCAUUAUGGUUGGGUAAGGCACAAGUGAUGCCCACUAAUGUGUUUAGGGAAAGUCUGCAAUGGCUGGAGCCUGUAAAUGUCAAAAUAUCCAAAAGAUAAAAACUCAUGCUCUUAGAAGCUGGUUAGUUUGAAGGUGGUUAAUUGAGAAUUAACUAGAAGAUGCUUAGCUGGGAAUCCCAGUGUGAGGACCAAGUUACCUCCCUAGGAGUUGUUAACCACAGAGGCCGUAGAGGCCCCCACAGCAAUAAAGGCCACAGUUGGUUUCAUUCCAGAACUGAAUAAUUAGGUCCUGUUGCUGAAUAGGUUGCAUUGUUUGGUUUCCAGACUUGGAGAACAAAGCUAGGCCUGGGAUCCAAGCAUCCCAUCCCUGUGAGUGAGCUCCUGAAGUGCCAGAAGUUGCUACUAAGAAUGCUGGGGAGAAUUAAAACCCAAAGUCCAAAUUUGCUGUGGAUCCUGCGCACAUCAUGAUGGAAAUACCAGGCGGAAUGUGCCAGCUGGUACAGGAGUGGACCAAGUGGUUAUAGAGAGAACCAACUUUCUGAUUAGACUGAAGGCUUGCUUCACAGGGGGAAAUUCAUAUCCCAUACUGGGGAUGCAGACAAAAACAGUAAAAAGGGAAGUCAUGAGCUCCAGUGGAAAAGCACCUGCUAUUGACUGGCUUAAAGGAUGUAGCCACUAAAACAGCUUCUCCACAUUGGUAUUCACAGUUGUCCCGCACUACCUCCUGCCAGCAGGAACGAUGCGGCACACACAGGAUCCUUCUGCAGUACAAGCUUUAAUGCAUCUUGAGAGCGAGAUCACAAGCUUCAGUUGAGGAGGACCCCGACUAUCUCAAAACCCUUCCCUUAUAUAGAGCUCUAUGCCCGCCUCAGACGUGGCGACUCAUAAUAGGCUAUGGGACGAUCAGGCCAUCUGACGUGACCAAAGACACUCCGCCGCGGAUACAGGGGAUUUACAGGCACACGCGCACAAGGCAUUUUUAUGCCAACGGCAAGCCGGAUGUCAUCGCCAUCUUGUAAUGGCGAUGUGCUUACGACAUGGCUUCCCACAUCCAGUCAUGAGUUACCACUACAGUCUGUGUCUGCUGGGAUAUUUUUCCAUUUCCUGGUUUGUGUUCUUUUCCUCACUUGUGUUUUGUAGUAGGAGUCACCAUCCACAUGACUCAACAACUGCCACAUUCUGGAAUGGAGGGAAGAGCAGAAAGACAUGAGGAUGUGUUCCGUUGCUGGAGUGGGAGGAACAGACACACAUCUGUAUCACCCUAUCCCCAGCUCAGGGGCCAUUGCGGAAGAGGGGGCAGAAAGAAUGUAAGAGCCAGAGGAUGGGGUGGACUGUGUCAUGGGUGACUGUCCUCCCAGACAAGCAAAUGACAUCUGAGGGAGGCUGUAUCUGAGGCUGCAUGAAAAGACCAUCCCAGUGAGGGCUGCUGAAGAAGCCCCACCCCAGCAGAUGUUCACCAAGGUAUCCAGCUACUCCCUAUCACCUAGCAAGGCUGCAUGUGGCAUUAGGGAAGAGCUAAAGUAUAUAAGACCAGGGAAGAGGAGUUUUAGCAACUUAUGGUGUGAGAUCUUCCACACUCAAACCUUAAGGGGAACACUUUAACUUGAAGACAGACUCAGAAAGCUUUGUGCUUCUCUUAAGAUGUCCUUGUCCAUGUUUUCUCUCAAGAGUGAUGUGGCAGGAGGGGAGGACACUUAAAAUGGAAUUAACUUUUAGGUUAACAGAAAGACAAGGGAAGCAGUAGCAUGGGGUAGAUGAUUAUGGUGCACACCAUAAUGCAACCCUAUUCAUCAAAACACAAUCCCUACUUUGCACAGUUAAUGUAUACUGGUUUAUUCCUUUUAAAACUUCUGUUGAUAUACAUUAACUGUGCAAAGUAAAGGAUGUCAAAGAAAAUUGAAUUAUGAUCUCCCAUUUUUCUAUUCUUUGACACAGAAGCCAAUGAUUCGGCAUCAUCCGAACAGAGACAAACACAAUAGCCAAGGCAUUAAUCUGAGCUUAGUGGUUUGUGACAUCAGAGACAGGCAUGCACUUUGUCCUGACAACAGCAUCUUUUACAUAAAAUGUGGAGGUAGAGGCAACAAGAAAUGAACUUGAAAAUAAGUGAUUACUAGAGAAUUAUCAAGGUCAAUCCCUACCACAUAAAAACAGCACCACUGGCACCUUCACAUAGACACCAUGGUGGAAGAUUCUGGGGGUGUAGGCAUGGGGCACACCACACACCUGCCAACAGGGGAGCCCAUGCAUCAUUCCUGGAACUGACAGCAAAGGGGUGCGCAGGACCAGGAGGCCACUAAGACACUAAGGAAUUGUCUUUAGCCCAUUUAGGGCACAACCUGUAACAGAACAGACACACGGGAUCAAGAGUACUGAGUUAGGGAGGACAGAGACUGCUCACAUUGUGACAUGAGCUAGGUGACCCAUGUCCUGGUGGACAAGCCACUUGAUUCUCAUUGAGUUUCCCACUACCUGGGGCCUAAGGUGUUCUGUGCACUAAAGCAGUGUUCUGCUUACCCAUCAGCUCUGGCAGUGGGUCAUCUGGAUGCAACUUGGACAGGGUCAAUCUUUGGGGAAACUACCAGAGACCCCUGUUGUCCAUUAGAAACAGUCAUGUGGGACAGUUGAACGCUUGUGUUUCUCCCAGGGCUUCAGUCCAACUGGCUAAGAUGGGUACAACCUUAUUGCCUGGGGGUUAUAUGGCAGAUGAGUGCCAUGCUACAUGGUGUUUCUAAGGACUACCAGCAUGUUCUGCAAAAUGAGUGCCCUGGUCAUUGAUAACAAGGUUGGGUAGCUGUGCAUCACAUGAAUUGCUCACAGCUUUAGAAGGUCAACAUCGAGUAGCUCCCUCACUAAGGAAAGCAGCCAGUGACUGUGUCUACAUGCACAUGCAUGUCCUUUUCUGUUUCAUAAAAGAGAACAUCUAACAAUCCCAUACUUGUAUUGCUGCUCAUGUAGGUCACAUGACAGGGCAAAAGGUAGAAAUAUACCUGUCACUGGGUUGUAACCACCACAGAGUCACGAUAUUUUAAGGGCAAUAUCUCUGCCCAGUUAUCCCUGCUUUACCCCCAUUUUAGCACUUCCAAUAAAACUUUCUACAUAUCCACAGCACCGUGUCUGCUACUGCUAGGUCAGGGUUGUCAUUUCUUGUGCCUCAGUAAAGCCAUCUCCAACUUUCAAGCAGGCAGGAUACUUAUGUACCAACAUACUAUCUAGUGACCAUGACCACACAAAUUGCUAGUGUGGUUGCUCAGACAGAUUAUUGUUAUCUAUUAUAGAUUAUCCUCCAGUAGAGAACAUGAUUCUCUUGCCACACACGUAGGCCUCAGUGCCCUGUCCACUUGUAAAACCAUUCAGCAGCCAUGUUUCAUAAGAUACAGGAAAUUAUGCAGUCAAAGCCCCACCCUCAUAUUGCUGACUUCCUGUGCCAGACCUCUCAAGGCAAAUUGUAAUGCAGAAAUGUACAAGACACUUGGGUUUCCUGCUUGAGUCUUCUGUUUAUCAGAUAAUGUCAGAUAUGUGCUUCCUUCCCUCAUGCCUCAGACGUUUCAGAGGUCACCUGAGACGGUGAGGCAUUUGCAUAGAUUAAAUGACCCCAACAGCAGCCAAAAGAGGACCAAUAAGCUGUGAUGCCUUGGUGGUGUAGAUCCACAUGCCACUAAUACAGAGCAGACUGAGGCAGAGUGGCCCAUCUAUGCUCUAAGACCCUUAUCAAAUUUCUCAUCAGAAACCCUAGAUCUCAAAAGACAGUGGUUGAUUCAUUACAAAUUAUCCUGAAAAUCUUGUCAGGCCAUAUUAGACAAGUAUUCUUAAUUCUUGGGAAACGGUGCCAUGCCACCUUGCCACAAAUGCCUUGUUUUGGGGUCAUUUAUAAGCCUCAAAAAUUGAUUUCUUGUGUUGAAGAUGGUUGAUUCAAGACUGAGAAACCAAGAGAUGUAAGGUGGGAAGAGGGCUGCUUUUUUUUCUACCUUAUAUUGUUGUCACAUGGUCUUGCAUAGGACUGAACUCAGUUCUUACAGCUGUUUCCUUAGUGCAGUGUCUUCUCUCAUGGCUGCAUGAAUGCCCAGGCCUUGCCGCCUCCUGAAGGACCCCACCUCUUAGUACUCUUACAUUGAAGCUAAAGUUUCCACAGUGUUGGAGGGAAGCAGACUCAGCCCUGAGAGCACACAAACUACAGCUGGUCACCACUAGCAUACCCUGCCUGAGCAAAUCCUUCAGGUUCAACUGGCACAUGACAGUUAUCAGAGAAGAUGCUAUUGGGAGGAUGAGACAGAGGAAUCAGCACUUUAAUGUCAUACUUAUAUAAUAUGAAAAGAAAGUUCAAAGUGAGUAGAUUUGUCUUCUCCAUGAUCUACAUUACUAAUGUGUCAAAAAUUGUUACUCUUUGUUAUUGUAUGCACAUGUGUAACCCAGCAGCUGGGGACACUGAGGUUGAAGAGGUGUCUUGCAUGUUCCUGAAGCACUGCUAUAGCUUACUCUAGACAGCUGUCACUUUUGCAUUUAAAUGGAAUCCUCAUAGGAACCACAGAGAAGCAGCCCUACAAUGUACACUAGCAAACUCCCUGGGGAGAUAAUGAGAAAUCAAGAGAGGGGCUUUGUUAGCAAACAUUCAAGUAUCACAAGGAAGUAAAACUUUUCUACACAUCACUGCACUUAAGCUUAAGGUAUGAAUUCGGGAGGGGGGGUUGAAUAGGAUUUUUAUGCCAACCAGAGGCAGCCUGUAUGUGUCACUCUGAGAUGAGUGGCAGAUUCUGGGGUACAGUACCCACAAUCACCCUUGACCAGUUCUAUUCUCAUCUGCCUGCCCCCAACCUCCCCUUUCUCUGUGUAUGUGUUUCAUCUGUGUGUGCAUGUUCGUGUGCAGUUUCUCAUGAAGGCCAAAGGUCAACCUCAGAUGCCCCCUCCUAUAGGUGUCCACUUUGGUUUUUGAGAAAUGUCUCCCACCAGUUCUUGAGUUCACCAGUUCAGCUACUCUUUUCUGUGCCUCUCCAGAAUAGGGAUAACCACAGUAUGCUACUGUACCCAACUUUGUAUGUGGGUGCCAGGACUAGAACUUUUUGGUCUUCAUGCAUUUCCAGCAACAAAUACUGAGUCAUCUCCCAAGCACUGCCCCCAAAUUCUAGUGUCUUAAUCUACAGAAUGUGCACCAUGGUGGUUAAGUCUCUUGGCAUUGCCAUGGGCUGCCUGUCAACUGUGCAACUCCCUGGAAGGCCAUGUCUGAAAGUCCCUGUCCAGAGGUCAAGAGGGGCCUGGCCAUCUGAAUAUGGAUGAAUAUGGAUGAAAAGUACUAAGAAAAUCCUGCCUAGUGAUCAGACUGUCACCAGACUAGUGGAGUUUCAGCUCCUGAUCUCUUUCUUACUAAGACUGGUCCUUUCUGAGGCAUCACGGUGUCUCUAUCCCAUUUCUUUCUUUGGGAGUUGCAGGUGAAUUCCCCUUGUCACUUCGCAUCUUGGGAUGGCACUGCUCCUGUUUCUGACUCCUUUUCUCUGUAUCCAAAUCCACCCCUACCCAGAAGGACCCUGGUCAUUGGCUUAGGGUCCCCUCUGCUUGCCUUCAAUUAACAAAAUCCACAGCAACCAUUAGUCCAGAUAAGAUCUCAUCGGUACCUGAACUUGGGGCUCAACUUCAAAGUUGGGGAAUGGGCUGUGGACUUAGCUCAGUUGCAGAGUGUUUGUCUGCAUGCACUCCUGAGUUCUCUGCAGCACAUAAAUUGGGCAGAGUGGCCCACACAAGAAAAAAGAUGCUUUGACGCUAAGUUUACCAUCUCUGUCACCAUGACACAAAUGUGCAACUAGAAGAAUGAAAGAGAUGAGUUUAUAACAGCUUGGCUGAUCUCAAGGAACUCUGACAAUAAAAAUCUCUAAAUAUCACAACUGAGUGACUAAAACCAGGGUAUGACUAAGCAGAGAGGCAGAGAUUCCAAAGGUUAUCCAUGUGAGCAAGGUCUGAGAGGGAGGGCAGGAAGGUUUUGUAUUUUAUUUAAUGCUUAAAGGUUCUUAUAGUUGGGGAGUUGUGUUAAGUAGGUCAUGAUGCCUAUAAAAAAUAAUUAAGCCACUGAACUAAAUCUGUCAAGUAUAAAGGAGAAAAGUAAUUCAUUAUAAAAGAUAAAAUCAAUCAUAAUUUGUAAAUUAUAGUACAUUCUUCAGUGAUCAAACUGAAAUAUUAUAAUAAACUUUUAAGUUUGGUGCCCCA
Long non-coding RNA from Mastomys coucha (southern multimammate mouse), 6731 nucleotides. RefSeq lists it as uncharacterized. The record is from RefSeq and is a predicted model, not a curated record. NCBI's taxonomy places the organism in Eukaryota, Metazoa, Chordata, Mammalia, Rodentia, Muridae. The transcript is spliced from 2 exons.